RNAcentral lists this ribosomal RNA (528 nucleotides) under uncultured bacterium. RNAcentral's name for it is "bacterial SSU rRNA". It matches the Rfam family "Bacterial small subunit ribosomal RNA", at positions 334 to 852 of the family's 1533-position model. The record is from RNAcentral.
CGUACCUACGGGAGGCAGCAGUAGGGAAUACUUCGGCAAUGGGGGCAACCCUGACCGAGCAACGCCGCGUGAGUGAAGAAGGUUUUCGGAUCGUAAGGCUCUGUUGUAAGUCAAGAACGGGUGUGAGAGUGGAAAGUUCACACUGUGACGGUAGCUUACCAGAAAGGGACGGCUAACUACGUGCCAGCAGCCGCGGUAAUACGUAGGUCCCGAGCGUUGUCCGGAUUUAUUGGGCGUAAAGCGAGCGCAGGCGGUUUGAUAAGUCUGAAGUUAAAGGCUGUGGCUCAACCAUAGUUCGCUUUGGAAACUGUCAAACUUGAGUGCAGAAGGGGAGAGUGGAAUUCCAUGUGUAGCGGUGAAAUGCGUAGAUAUAUGGAGGAACACCGGUGGCGAAAGCGGCUCUCUGGUCUGUAACUGACGCUGAGGCUCGAAAGCGUGGGGAGCGAACAGGAUUAGAUACCCUGGUAGUCCACGCCGUAAACGAUGAGUGCUAGGUGUUGUCUGUAUCGACCCGGACAGUGCCGUAGC